UCUCCGUAGGUGAACCUGCGGAGGGAUCAUUACCGAGUGAGGGCUCACGCCCGACCUCCAACCCUUUGUGAACACAUCUUGUUGCUUCGGGGGCGACCCUGCCGUUUCGACGGCGAGCGCCCCCGGAGGCCUUCAAACACUGCAUCUUUGCGUCGGAGUUUAAGUAAAUUAAACAAAACUUUCAACAACGGAUCUCUUGGUUCUGACAUCGAUGAAAACGCAGC
RNAcentral lists this unclassified non-coding RNA (224 nucleotides) under uncultured fungus. Its description in RNAcentral is "sequence contains ITS1, 5.8S rRNA gene". Lineage: Eukaryota; Fungi. The record is from RNAcentral.